GUGAGAAAGUAGAUUGCAAAAGUAUGGCAGAUGUAUCAAAAAGACGAAAUAAUGAAAGGGAAAGGAGUGUAAGAGGACCAACAACAACAACAGGAAACAAGCAACAGGUGAUGCACCAGGACGCUGCACAGUCAGAGGAUCGUCUUUUGCAAAAUAUUGAAAUCACCUUUCCUCUGCAAGGGUGCGCCAUGUAUUGGGACUUGUGCGGAGUUCGUCAGUCGAGUACUUUUAAAAGGGAUUUUAAUGCUAUAUCGUUUAGUAAGAGUCCUGUGUUUGAUAACGGGUUGGGAGAGCAGCAAAGUGGGCGCCUAGUGCCAGGGAACGGGUGCGGAGAACAGGGUAGCGGGUGUGAAGCGGUGAUACACUUGGGAGUGAAGCAGGCAGCACCGUCCCUGAGCUGGGCGAGCGGGAGAGAGAGACUUCAGUGGCGUUUCGACGUGGCUCUGGAGUGGACGUGCGCAGUGUGUGCGGCGUGUGACGGCGUGUGCGUGUAAACGUGCGCGGAACUGUGAAAAAAUCAUUAUUCAUAACUUACAAGGACAAAUUGGCAUUCAUUUAUGAAUACACUGUACUGAGUAGGAAGUGUAAUGUGCUUGCCAACAGUAACCAUCGAUCAACCUUUGUAAGUUCAACGUUUCCGUUUAAAAGGUAAGUCCCUCUAUUAUAUUUUUAGCUGUUAGGAAGAAAUUUACUCAAGAGAAAUUUGCCAGGUACACGUUUGCGAUUUCAGUAGAAAGAAAUAUAUAUGUACACGCCAUUUUCCUUUUGCCAGGUGCGUGCGUAUGUAGAGGUCGGUUAUGUAAUCCACUCAGUUCAUACUUGGGAUGACGUAACCGUGCCUCGUUGUGGAUAAAAAAAAAUCGCAUUGCUUCGUUGUCUCUUAAAUCGGCAGAAGAGGUGGUCUGAGUAAAUAUUUGGCACUUGGGUUCAUAGCGGAGCGUAUUCAGUCAACCACUUUGAAGCGUGCCCAUCAAAGUCCUACUAUUUAUUAUGGCAAACGGAUAUUGAUUGUUUUCAUUGCCUGUCAUUCGCGUGAGGAGUGACUGUGAGGCGCCUUUGUUAAGAGAAACUGAAAGGGAAGGAAAUAGGGAAACUGUGACAGAGUGAAAGCGACUGUGAGUAUUUUUGCGACAUAGAGAUCUUUCGCUUUUAAGAGAUGAUGUUAUGAUUUGCGGAUUCUAUUCUAGAACAUUAGUAAGAGCUCUAUUAAAAAAUAAACUUUGCAUUACUUUCGCUUCAGUUUUAUGCUGGCAGACACCGUAUCAAGUAGGGUUGGUGAUUCUUUUGGUAAACUAGAAAGCUAUUAAUUGCAUAAUAACCUUUAUUAUUUAUAAUCGCAGCUCAUUAUCUUUUGUUAUUAUCAUCUGGGAACACUGCACGUGAAUACAUGACCUUUCACAAGGCAUCUUUUUGUAUGAUCAAUCAUAAUAUCAAUAAUAUCAUCAGUUGGCACUUUCUCGUAUGCAGUUAAUAUUUUUAUUCACCGAAUUUGCAACUAUAAGCAGCCAAUGACAGUUGAGAAAGAGGAAAUAGGGUGAUAUGGCGGAAAUACUGACACGAAGGGACAAGGCAAAACACCCUAAUCUGCAAAAGCCAUUUCAGGGCUAAAAAUUAUUAUUUUGUCUUGUUUAUCUUUUCGAACCCUCAUCCCCUCAUCGUGUUUUCCUUCCUUAACCUCUCUUUCAGAACUCUUAGUCUAAUUUAUUCCCUUUUUACCCCGUCUUGGAUCAUAAAAUAUUACAUUUUCAA
RNAcentral lists this unclassified non-coding RNA (1749 nucleotides) under Penaeus monodon (black tiger shrimp). Its description in RNAcentral is "uncharacterized LOC119597825, transcript variant X1". Lineage: Eukaryota; Metazoa; Arthropoda; Malacostraca; Decapoda; Penaeidae. The record is from RNAcentral.